Carassius auratus (goldfish) is the source of this 1523-nucleotide long non-coding RNA. RefSeq lists it as uncharacterized. The transcript is spliced from 4 exons. Lineage: Eukaryota; Metazoa; Chordata; Actinopteri; Cypriniformes; Cyprinidae. The record is from RefSeq and is a predicted model, not a curated record.
UUUUUCAAGCUACAUAAUCUAAAAGCAAACCAAUCCCAGUCAAAGUGACUUGUUUUAAAGAAUCCCCACAUCCCCCAGUUCCCCCAGCAGCGUCUGGUAAACUGAUUGUUCUCUCUUCUUAUGCUAAUAACACUAAUGUCUCCACAUUCCUGAGCAUUAUCACCUGGCCCUUCACAGCAACAGUACCAACAGUAUCCGGGCUAACUGAGUCUCAUCCAAUCACGGUCCAGAUAUCUGGGUGGGGUUAUAUAUAUACUGUUUUCCUGACAGAAUCUACAUUGAAUUUUUUAGUUUUUUGUGAAAUAAAAUUCCAAAACCUUGAAGGACAAACUGCUUUUUGAGAUUCCUACAUUGCCUACAAGGGACCACAUACAACAAAGCCUACUAAGGCCAUUUCUCAUCUCUUUUUUCCAUUCAAGACUGAAAAGGAAAAUGAGACCCAGAAGAGUCUGUCCUGAAAAGGAAGCUUUGAAAUUCAUCGCAUCUGGGAAAGAUAAAGACAUAUUUCAGUCAAGAGUCAAGAGAAAGAUUGUUGAUGAACAGAAAAGAGCACAUUUGUGCAUUUGUGACCACAAACAUCACUAAAGGAGAAGAAAUGAUGUUCGACUGCGGAGAUCCUGACUGCUCAUGGAGACAAGUAGCAGGAUGCUUGGUCCAUUACAGACGGAUGUGCAACACCCUGAUCUGACCACUACACCCUCCACCCAGGAUCCACUUGGUCUGUCUCUACAUGUCAGAACGAGUAACUUCAGUCUUCAAUGGGAUGAAAGACUAUCUUAAGCAGAGUGAUGAGCAAAUCAGUGGAAGAGCAUCCUACUAUUGAGGAAUGCCUUCAGGAAGUCAAAACUAUGUGCAUUAAAAUGAUUAGAUAUAAAUACUGGUGUGAAUUUACAGGUUUUGAUCACUGGUCUUAUCAAAUAUGAACCACAAACAGCUACAGCAAUGUCCAUGUGGUUUCAGGAAAUAGUGACACAAAUGAUGAUCUUUCUGAAAUAAGGGCUGCCAAUUCAGAAAAGACUUCAGCCUUUAGUCUUGGACACAUCAGUAAAUCACUAGUGCCAUUAAAUCAAAACAGUAUGUUACAUUCACCAUAAACAAUACUGAAGAGCUGAAGAUCAUUGUCUUUUCAUGUUUUCAACUUUGUAAAGUAUGUAUUACUGACAUUAAUUUUUUUUCAUUCAUUCAUAUAUUUAUUUACUAUAUAUAUUUUUUUAUCUUUUAAUUUUGUUAAAUAGCAAAACCCAGAAAGCCCUGGUCAGAAACAGAGGAAAGUCAUAGAACACUGUUUCAAGAUCUACUUGGAGGAAAUGAAGGCUCCUGAAAAAGUGGACUGUGAAAGAUACAUAAAUGCAAACAGGAUUCUAAAGGGUAAUGGAAGAGACCAGAAAACAGUUAAAUACUUUGUGCUCAACAGAAUAAUUUCAGUUAAGAGAAGUUUGGGUGAACAGUACUGAGCCCAUAAACCCUGAGAGCUAUUUUUAGAGAGAUUAUGAGAAUAAAGUUUGACUUGAUUUCAUUCAAAA